RNAcentral lists this ribosomal RNA (1449 nucleotides) under Staphylococcus sp. HMSC074A11. RNAcentral's name for it is "bacterial LSU rRNA". It matches the Rfam family "Bacterial large subunit ribosomal RNA", at positions 1466 to 2913 of the family's 2925-position model. Lineage: Bacteria; Bacillati; Bacillota; Bacilli; Caryophanales; Staphylococcaceae. The record is from RNAcentral.
GGGGGGACGCAGUAGGAUAGGCGAAGCGUACGAUUGGAUUGUACGUCUAAGCAGUGAGAUUGAGUGUUAGGCAAAUCCGGCACUCUUAAGAUUGAGCUGUGAUGGGGAGAGGAAAUUGUUUCCUCGAGUCGUUGAUUUCACACUGCCGAGAAAAGCCUCUAGAUAGAUAAUAGGUGCCCGUACCGCAAACCGACACAGGUAGUCAAGAUGAGAAUUCUAAGGUGAGCGAGCGAACUCUCGUUAAGGAACUCGGCAAAAUGACCCCGUAACUUCGGGAGAAGGGGUGCUCUUUAGGGUGCAAGCCCAGAAGAGCCGCAGUGAAUAGGCCCAAGCGACUGUUUAUCAAAAACACAGGUCUCUGCUAAACCGUAAGGUGAUGUAUAGGGGCUGACGCCUGCCCGGUGCUGGAAGGUUAAGAGGAGUGGUUAGCUUCUGCGAAGCUACGAAUCGAAGCCCCAGUAAACGGCGGCCGUAACUAUAACGGUCCUAAGGUAGCGAAAUUCCUUGUCGGGUAAGUUCCGACCCGCACGAAAGGCGUAACGAUUUGGGCACUGUCUCAACGAGAGACUCGGUGAAAUCAUAGUACCUGUGAAGAUGCAGGUUACCCGCGACAGGACGGAAAGACCCCGUGGAGCUUUACUGUAGCCUGAUAUUGAAAUUCGGCACAGCUUGUACAGGAUAGGUAGGAGCCUUUGAAACGUGAGCGCUAGCUUACGUGGAGGCGCUGGUGGGAUACUACCCUAGCUGUGUUGGCUUUCUAACCCGCACCACUUAUCGUGGUGGGAGACAGUGUCAGGCGGGCAGUUUGACUGGGGCGGUCGCCUCCUAAAAGGUAACGGAGGCGCUCAAAGGUUCCCUCAGAAUGGUUGGAAAUCAUUCAUAGAGUGUAAAGGCAUAAGGGAGCUUGACUGCGAGACCUACAAGUCGAGCAGGGUCGAAAGACGGACUUAGUGAUCCGGUGGUUCCGCAUGGAAGGGCCAUCGCUCAACGGAUAAAAGCUACCCCGGGGAUAACAGGCUUAUCUCCCCCAAGAGUUCACAUCGACGGGGAGGUUUGGCACCUCGAUGUCGGCUCAUCGCAUCCUGGGGCUGUAGUCGGUCCCAAGGGUUGGGCUGUUCGCCCAUUAAAGCGGUACGCGAGCUGGGUUCAGAACGUCGUGAGACAGUUCGGUCCCUAUCCGUCGUGGGCGUAGGAAAUUUGAGAGGAGCUGUCCUUAGUACGAGAGGACCGGGAUGGACAUACCUCUGGUGUACCAGUUGUCGUGCCAACGGCAUAGCUGGGUAGCUAUGUAUGGACGGGAUAAGUGCUGAAAGCAUCUAAGCAUGAAGCCCCCCUCAAGAUGAGAUUUCCCAACUUCGGUUAUAAGAUCCCUCAAAGAUGAUGAGGUUAAUAGGUUCGAGGUGGAAGCGUGGUGACACGUGGAGCUGACGAAUACUAAUCGAUCGAAGA